This 426-nucleotide ribosomal RNA is filed under the name uncultured bacterium. RNAcentral's name for it is "bacterial SSU rRNA". It matches the Rfam family "Bacterial small subunit ribosomal RNA", at positions 356 to 773 of the family's 1533-position model. The record is from RNAcentral.
AGGGAAUCUUCCGCAAUGGACGAAAGUCUGACGGAGCAACGCCGCGUGAGUGAAGAAGGCCUUCGGGUCGUAAAACUCUGUUGUCAGGGAAGAACAAGUACCGUUCGAAUAGGGCGGUACCUUGACGGUACCUAACCAGAAAGCCACGGCUAACCACGUGCCAGCAGCCGCGGUAAUACGUAGGUGGCAAGCGUUGUCCGGAAUUAUUGGGCGUAAAGCGCGCGCAGGCGGUUUCUUAAGUCUGAUGGGAAAGCCCCCGGCUCAACCGGGGAGGGUCAUUGGAAACUGGGGAACUUGAGUGCAGAAGAGGAGAGUGGAAUUCCACGUGUAGCGGUGAAAUGCGUAGAGAUGUGGAGGAACACCAGUGGCGAAGGCGACUCUCUGGUCUGUAACUGACGCUGAGGCGCGAAAGCGUGGGGAGCGAAC